RNAcentral lists this ribosomal RNA (424 nucleotides) under uncultured bacterium. Its description in RNAcentral is "bacterial SSU rRNA". It matches the Rfam family "Bacterial small subunit ribosomal RNA", at positions 359 to 775 of the family's 1533-position model. The record is from RNAcentral.
GAAUAUUGGACAAUGGGCGAAAGCCUGAUCCAGCAAUGCCGCGUGUGUGAAGAAGGCCCUCGGGUUGUAAAGCACUUUUAUCAGGAACGAAAUACCACGGGCUAAUACCUUGUGGGGCUGACGGUACCUGAGGAAUAAGCACCGGCUAACUUCGUGCCAGCAGCCGCGGUAAUACGAAGGGUGCAAGCGUUAAUCGGAAUUACUGGGCGUAAAGGGUGCGUAGGCGGUUAUUUAAGUCUGCCGUGAAAGCCACGGGCUCAACCUGGGAAUGGCGGUGGAUACUGGAUAGCUAGAGUGUGUCAGAGGAUGGUGGAAUUCCCGGUGUAGCGGUGAAAUGCGUAGAGAUCGGGAGGAACAUCAGUGGCGAAGGCGGCCAUCUGGGACAACACUGACGCUGAAGCACGAAAGCGUGGGGAGCAAACAG